UCGUAAUUGAAGAGGUUUGGAAAGACCCACCACAGAAGGUAAUAGUCCUGUAUGUUAAACGAGAAGACUUUAGAUAUGAUCCAGAGUACCACGGGACACGUGAAACCCUGUGGGAAGCAGGAGGGACCACCCUCCAAGGCUAAAUACUACCUAGUGACCGAUAGCGUAUAGUACCGUGAGGGAAAGGUGAAAAGAACCCCGGGAGGGGAGUGAAAUAGAACCUGAAACCCUGCACUUACAAGCUGUGGAAGCACAUUUCUUGUGUGACCGCGUACUUUUUGUAGAACGGGCCAACGAGUUACGUUAAGUAGCAAGGUUAAGCACUUAAGGUGUGGAGCCGUAGCGAAAGCGAGUUUUAACUGAGCGUUCAGUUACUUGACGUAGACCCGAAACCGGGCGACCUACCCAUGAGCAGGAUGAAGCGAAAGUAAAAUUUCGUGGAGGUCCGAACCCACGAGCGUUGAAAAGCUCGGGGAUGACUUGUGGGUAGCGGUGAAAUUCCAAUCGAGCCCGGAGAUAGCUGGUUCUCCCCGAAAUAGCUUUAGGGCUAGCCUCAAGGUGAGAGAUACGGAGGUAGAGCACUGAAUGUCCUAGGGGGUAUUGCACCUACCGAAGACUAUCAAACUCCGAAUGCCGUCAUCUUAUACUUGGGAGUCAGACUGUGGGUGAUAAGAUUCAUAGUCGAAAGGGCAACAGCCCAGAUCGUCAGCUAAGGUCCCUAAAUGUAAGUUAAGUGGUAAAGGAUGUGGGAUUGCACAGACAACCAGGAUGUUGGCUUAGAAGCAGCCACUCAUUCAAAGAGUGCGUAAUAGCUCACUGGUCGAGUGAUCCUGCGCCGAAGAUUUCCGGGGCUAAAACUUACUACCGAAGCUACGGCAUCAGUAAUGAUGGGUAGGGGAGCUUCCCAUACGGGUUGAAGCAUGACCGUAAGGACAUGUGGACAGUAUGGGAGUGAGAAUGUUGGCAUGAGUAGCGAGAUGUGGGUGAGAAUCCCACAGGCCGUAAACCCAAGGUUUCCAGGGGAAGGUUCGUCCGCCCUGGGUUAGUCGGGACCUAAGCUGAGGCCGAAAGGCGUAGGUGAUGGACAACAGGUUGAUAUUCCUGUACUACCGAUAACCGUUUGAGAGAAGGGAUGACACAGUAGGAUAAGCUAAGCACACUGUUGGUUAUGUGUGCCCAAGCAUUGAGGCAGUCAAAGUAGGCAAAUCCGCUUUGAUAAUGCUGGGAUGUGAUGGGGAGCGAAAUUUAGUAGCGAAGUAGCUGAUUUCACACUGUCAAGAAAAGUCUCUAUCGAGGUUAAAGGUACCCGUACCGCAAACCGACACAGGUGGGUGAGGAGAGUAUCCUAAGGCCAGCGAGAGAACUGUUGUUAAGGAACUCGGCAAAAUGACCCCGUAACUUAGGGAUAAGGGGUGCCACCAUCAGGUGGCCGCAGAGAAUAGGCCCAAGCGACUGUUUACCAAAAACAUAGGUUUCUGCUAAGUCGCAAGACGAUGUAUAGGAGCUGACGCCUGCCCGGUGCUGGAAGGUUAAGGGGAUCUGUUAGAGCAAUCGAAGCAGUGAACUUAAGCCCCAGUAAACGGCGGCCGUAACUAUAACGGUCCUAAGGUAGCGAAAUUCCUUGUCGGGUAAGUUCCGACCCGCACGAAAGGCGUAACGAUUUGGGCACUGUCUCAACAACAGACUCGGUGAAAUUG
Molecule: ribosomal RNA, 1697 nt
Filed under: Clostridioides difficile
Lineage: Bacteria; Bacillati; Bacillota; Clostridia; Peptostreptococcales; Peptostreptococcaceae
Description: partial 23S ribosomal RNA
Rfam family: Bacterial large subunit ribosomal RNA
Source: RNAcentral